Cavia porcellus (domestic guinea pig) is the source of this 72-nucleotide small nucleolar RNA. Its record names the gene SNORD26. It matches the Rfam family "Small nucleolar RNA SNORD26". Rfam says of the family: U26 is a member of the C/D class of snoRNA which contain the C (UGAUGA) and D (CUGA) box motifs. NCBI's taxonomy places the organism in Eukaryota, Metazoa, Chordata, Mammalia, Rodentia, Caviidae. The record is from Ensembl.
CUGCAGGGAUGAGUGAGAACUGAACUCUCUCUUUCUGAUGGCUAAAUGGAGAAAGCAAAAGUUCUGAGUAGC